AAUAUGACAGAUUUAUUCAUGAAUAUGAAACUAAGUUGUAUGAGUUAUACACUCACUUAUAUAAUUUUUAUAGUUAAUAGAUCUUCCCCUUACUAAGUGAAAGGAGUAUUUGUUUCUCCAUGGGGUGGGAACUCUUUGUACCAUACUGGUACUUUAAUAGAUGGUCUAAUUGAUAUCAACCCAAUUAAUUUACCAGGUCUACCACGUGUUCUAAAUUGGUUAGACAUUAUACCCAUUUGAAUUGCCUUCACUCCUGAGUCUCUGAGUGUCAGGUUCAAGCUGCUGACCGACGAGGUUCCUUAUGCUUGCGAACCAGUUAGAUUCUAUACACAUAUGAAUCUUCCCCAUAUUCGAAUAUCUGAAUGUCAGACUCAAGCUGAUGAUAUAUGAGGUAUGGUCCUCGCUGUAUCAAUCAAGUCCCAUUGAAAUAUUGAAACGUUGUUCAUACAUCUUUGAAUGACCUUUUAUGUGCUGACAAUAUGUUCUGAAAUGAAGAGAUUUUACCCCUGAUGAAGUAUUGGAACAAGACGAAACGCGUUGGGUUAUUUAUCUAUCUAUUAUCUGAUGUUACCUCCGAAUCUACAAUAAGGAGAAGGAGGAAAUCGUAGUGAUAUAUCUACGCUUUUUCCUCAUCACUACAAACUGAUUGUUCAAAUUGUGCGACAAAUGUAAAUGUAUCAACUCUGUAUACUUAUGAACAUUUGUG
This is a long non-coding RNA of Pseudophryne corroboree (corroboree frog), 706 nucleotides long. RefSeq lists it as uncharacterized. NCBI's taxonomy places the organism in Eukaryota, Metazoa, Chordata, Amphibia, Anura, Myobatrachidae. The transcript has 4 exons. The record is from RefSeq and is a predicted model, not a curated record.